RNAcentral lists this ribosomal RNA (655 nucleotides) under bacterium SC1-2. Its description in RNAcentral is "bacterial SSU rRNA". It matches the Rfam family "Bacterial small subunit ribosomal RNA", at positions 338 to 974 of the family's 1533-position model. The record is from RNAcentral.
CCUACGGGAGGCAGCAGUAGGGAAUCUUCCGCAAUGGACGAAAGUCUGACGGAGCAACGCCGCGUGAGCGAUGAAGGCCUUCGGGUCGUAAAGCUCUGUUGUCAGGGAAGAACAAGUAUCGGAGUAACUGCCGGUACCUUGACGGUACCUGACCAGAAAGCCACGGCUAACUACGUGCCAGCAGCCGCGGUAAUACGUAGUGGCAAGCGUUGUCCGGAAUUAUUGGGCGUAAAGCGCGCGCAGGCGGUUCCUUAAGUCUGAUGUGAAAGCCCCCGGCUCAACCGGGGGAGGGUCAUUGGAAACUGGGGAACUUGAGUGCAGAAGAGGAGAGCGGAAUUCCACGUGUAGCGGUGAAAUGCGUAGAGAUGUGGAUGCUCUGAACACCAGUGGGCGAAUGAUAGCGGCUCUCUGGUCUGUAACUGACGCUGAGGCGCGAAAGCGUGGGGAGCGAACAGGAUUAGAUACCCUGGUAGUCCACGCCGUAAACGAUGAGUGCUAAGUGUUAGAGGGUUUCCGCCCUUUAGUGCUGCAGCAAACGCAUUAAGCACUCCGCCUGGGGAGUACGGCCGCAAGGCUGAAACUCAAAGGAAUUGACGGGGGCCCGCACAAGCGGUGGAGCAUGUGGUUUAAUUCGAAGCAACGCGAAGAACCUUAC